Molecule: ribosomal RNA, 193 nt
Filed under: uncultured prokaryote
Description: partial 16S ribosomal RNA
Rfam family: Bacterial small subunit ribosomal RNA
Source: RNAcentral
UACGUAGGGUGCAAGCGUUGUCCGGAAUUACUGGGUUUAAAGCGCGCGCAGGCGGAAUAGCAAGUCUGGUCGUGAAAUCCUCCGGCUUAACCGGAGAAUGGCGCUGGAAACUGCUGUUCUUGAGUGCGGAAGAGGAAAGUGGAAUUCACGGUGUAGCGGUGAAAUGCGUAGAUAUCGUGAGGAACACCGGUGG